RNAcentral lists this long non-coding RNA (276 nucleotides) under Homo sapiens (human). RNAcentral describes it as "HSALNT0298778". The record is from RNAcentral. Lineage: Eukaryota; Metazoa; Chordata; Mammalia; Primates; Hominidae.
AGGCCCCUGGAAGAUUGGAUGGUGCCUGCCUAUACGGAGGGCGGAUCUUCCCCUCCUCGUCCACUCAGACUCACAUGCAAGUCUCCUCUAGAAACACCCUUGCAGACACACCCCAAAAUGACACUUUUAGAGGCCAUGGUGAGACAAAGCAGCUGACAGAAAUGCUACGCAGCGUCUUAAACCAGCUUGCUGCAGUCAGUCUGACUAGUUUAAGGAGACUGGCUGAAGCUCUGCCCAAACAAUCUGUGGAUGGAAAAGCACCACUUGCUACUGGAG